AUGAACGCUAGCGGCAGGCUUAACACAUGCAAGUCGAGGGGUAGAAGCAGCUUGCUGCUUUGAGACCGGCGCACGGGUGCGUAACGCGUAUGCAAUCUACCUUUUACAGAGGGAUAGCCCAGAGAAAUUUGGAUUAAUACCUCAUAGUAUGUGAGAAUCGCAUGGUUUUCACAUUAAAGUUCCAACGGUAAAAGAUGAGUAUGCGUCCCAUUAGCUAGAUGGUAAGGUAACGGCUUACCAUGGCAACGAUGGGUAGGGGUCCUGAGAGGGAGAUCCCCCACACUGGUACUGAGACACGGACCAGACUCCUACGGGAGGCAGCAGUGAGGAAUAUUGGACAAUGGGCGCAAGCCUGAUCCAGCCAUGCCGCGUGCAGGAAGACGGUCCUAUGGAUUGUAAACUGCUUUUAUACAGGAAGAAACACACCCUCGUGAGGGUACUUGACGGUACUGUAUGAAUAAGCAUCGGCUAACUCCGUG
This 479-nucleotide ribosomal RNA is filed under the name uncultured bacterium. RNAcentral describes it as "bacterial SSU rRNA". It matches the Rfam family "Bacterial small subunit ribosomal RNA", at positions 29 to 507 of the family's 1533-position model. The record is from RNAcentral.